AGUUCGAUUAUGGCUCAGAUUGAACGCUGGCGGGAUGCUUUACACAUACAGUGGAGCAACGGCAGCACGGACUUCGGUCUGGUGGCGAGUGACGAACGGGUGAGUAAUGUAUCGGAACGUGCCUAGUAGCGGGGGAUAACUACGCGAAAGCGUAGCUAAUACCGCAUACGCCCUUCGGGGGAAAGCGGGGGGACCCUUCCCGGGCUCCGCUGAGCAGCCCGGCUGGAUUAGCUAGUUGGUGGGGUAACGGCUCACCAAGGCGACAAUCCGUAGCUGGUUUGAGGACGACCAGCCACACUGGGACUGAGACACGGCCCAGACUCCUACGGGAGGCAGCAGUGGGGAAUUUUUUGGACAAUGGGGGAAACCCUGAUCCAGCCAUCCCGCGUGUGCGAUGAAGGCCUUCGGGUUGUAAAGCACUUUUGGCAGGAAAACUUUGGCACGGGAUAAUACCCGUGCAACUGACAGUACCUGCAGAAUAAGCACCGGCUAACUACGUGCCAGCAGCCGCGGUAAUACGUAGGGUGCAAGCGUUAAUCGGAAUUACUGGGCGUAAAGCGUGCGCAGGCGGUUCGGAAGAAAAGAUGUGAAAUCCCAGAGCUUAACUUUGGAACUGCAUUUUUAACUACCGAGCUAGAGUGUGUCAGAGGGAGGUGGAAUUCCGCGUGUAGCAGUGAAAUGCGUAGAUAUGCGGAGGAACACCGAUGGCGAAGGCAGCCUCCUGGGAUAACUGACGCUCAUGCACGAAAGCGUGGGAGCAAACAGGAUUAGAUACCCUGGUAGUCCACGCCCUAAACGAUGUCAACUAGCUGUUGGGGCCUUCGGGCCUUGGUAGCGCAGCUAACGCGUGAAGUUGACCGCCUGGGAGUACGGUCGCAAGAUUAAAACUCAAAGGAAUUGACGGGGACCGCACAAGCGGUGGAUGAUGUGGAUUAAUUCGAUGCAACGCGAAAAACCUUACCUACCCUUGACAUGUCUGGAAUCCCGAAGAGAUUUGGGAGUGCUCGCAGAGAACCGGAACACAGGUGCUGCAUGGCUGUCGUCAGCUCGUGUCGUGAGAUGUUGGGUUAAGUCCUGCUGGCUGGCCUUGUCAUUAGUUGCUACGAAGGGCACUCUAAUAAUGAGACUGCCGGUGACAAACCGGAGGAAGGUGGGGAUGACGUCAAGUCCUCAUGGCCCUUAUGGGUAGGGCUUCACACGUCAUACAAUGGUCGGGACAGAGGGUCGCCAACCCGCGAGGGCCAAUCCCAGAAACCCGAUCGUAGUCCGGAUCGCAGUCUGCAACUCGACUGCGUGAAGUCGGAAUCGCUGGUAAUCGCGGAUCAGCAUGUCGCGGUGAAUACGUUCCCGGGUCUUGUACACACCGCCCGUCACACCAUGGGAGUGGGUUUUACCAGAAGUAGUUAGCUAACCGUAAGGAGGGCGAUUACCCGUGGAUUCACCAAGCCUGCAGGGCGGAAGUCAUGUUGCUGAGUAGCCCUGUUAC
Molecule: ribosomal RNA, 1486 nt
Filed under: uncultured Bordetella sp.
Lineage: Bacteria; Pseudomonadati; Pseudomonadota; Betaproteobacteria; Burkholderiales; Alcaligenaceae
Description: partial 16S-23S ribosomal RNA intergenic spacer
Rfam family: Bacterial small subunit ribosomal RNA
Source: RNAcentral